UGAAAGCCCACGGCUUAACCGUGGAGGGUCAUUGGACACUGGUUUACUUGAGUACAGAAGAGGGGAGUGGAAUUCCAUGUGUAGCGGUGAAAUGCGUAGAGAUAUGGAAGAACACCAGUGGCGAAAGCGGCUCUCUGGUCUGUAACUGACGCUGAGGUUCGAAAGCGUGGGUAGCAAACAA
RNAcentral lists this ribosomal RNA (181 nucleotides) under uncultured bacterium. RNAcentral's name for it is "partial 16S ribosomal RNA". It matches the Rfam family "Bacterial small subunit ribosomal RNA", at positions 595 to 775 of the family's 1533-position model. The record is from RNAcentral.